UGGGGAAUUUUGGACAAUGGGGGAAACCCUGAUCCAGCCAUCCCGCGUGUGCGAUGAAGGCCUUCGGGUUGUAAAGCACUUUUGGCAGGAAAGAAACGUCGCGGGUUAAUACCCCGCGAAACUGACGGUACCUGCAGAAUAAGCACCGGCUAACUACGUGCCAGCAGCCGCGGUAAUACGUAGGGUGCAAGCGUUAAUCGGAAUUACUGGGCGUAAAGCGUGCGCAGGCGGUUCGGAAAGAAAGAUGUGAAAUCCCAGAGCUUAACUUUGGAACUGCAUUUUUAACUACCGGGCUAGAGUGUGUCAGAGGGAGGUGGAAUUCCGCGUGUAGCAGUGAAAUGCGUAGAUAUGCGGAGGAACACCGAUGGCGAAGGCAGCCUCCUGGGAUAACACUGACGCUCAUGCACGAAAGCGUGGGGAGCAAACAGGAUUAGAUACCCUGGUAGUCCACGCCCCUAAANGAUGUCAACUAGCUGUUGGGGCCCUUCGGGCCUUGGUAGCAGC
RNAcentral lists this ribosomal RNA (504 nucleotides) under uncultured bacterium. Its description in RNAcentral is "partial 16S ribosomal RNA". It matches the Rfam family "Bacterial small subunit ribosomal RNA", at positions 355 to 850 of the family's 1533-position model. The record is from RNAcentral.